UCCGACGCCAAAUAUGCAAAAAGUAAAAACAUAUGCCUCAAUGUGUCAUCCCAGACUAUAUAUAAAGAGAAUUAAAUCUAAGUCAUCCUAACCUAACCAAACUUUAAUGAAACUAAUCUAGCCUUAGCAAGCCACUGACAAAACACAAUAUAAACAGAAAUGUAUCUCCAGGUGUGUUCCCCCCCAAGACCAUAUAUUUAGAGAAUUAAAUCUAAGCUAUCCUAACCUGCCCAAACUUUAAUGAAACUAAUCUAGCCUUAGCAAGCCACUGUCAAAACA
Molecule: long non-coding RNA, 279 nt
Organism: Eriocheir sinensis (Chinese mitten crab)
Lineage: Eukaryota; Metazoa; Arthropoda; Malacostraca; Decapoda; Varunidae
Exons: 2
Source: RefSeq, a predicted model, not a curated record